UGCCUAUUCAAUACAAUCAAAUGAUAGACUUACUCCACAUCUAAAUCAUGAGUCUACAGACAGGUUCAAUGAUAGAAUUAUGACUUCUACUUUUAAUAUAUACAUUACUUCAAGACAAUGUCUGAGUGAGAAAAUAACAUCACAUACACUAGACGACAAUGUUGUGGAUAUGAUGAAAGAGUGAACAACCGUAACGCUAUCCUUCCUUAUGGUUCAUCAUAAAGCAAUAUUCAUUCUCAACAGGCAUUGUGUCCAUCGGAUCCAAACAUCUGUGUUUCUCACAAGCAAGAGGAACUUGGUACACUGGGUUAUUGUGAAAGCAUUAUCUGGUCAUGCGGUGGUGCAGAAGAAUGAACAAUAAA
This is a long non-coding RNA of Haliotis rubra (blacklip abalone), 362 nucleotides long. RefSeq lists it as uncharacterized. The record is from RefSeq and is a predicted model, not a curated record. Lineage: Eukaryota; Metazoa; Mollusca; Gastropoda; Lepetellida; Haliotidae. The transcript is spliced from 3 exons.